AAGACUAUACUUCCAGGGAUCAUUUCGAUAGUUCGUCACUAGAGAAGUUUCUCUGACUAUGUAGAGUACCGGAAACCAUGAGGAGGAGGAGAAGAAUCGUCAUGAAGUGGCUGUUGGUGUUGCUUUGCUGCUACUGCCACUUGCUAUUGAUGAUCAUUCCUGCUUUUCUUAGGGGGAGCUGUAGGGAAAAGACGCAAUCUGAGUGGC
RNAcentral lists this small nucleolar RNA (207 nucleotides) under Jaculus jaculus (lesser Egyptian jerboa). Its description in RNAcentral is "Small nucleolar RNA U3 (ENSJJAG00000005092.1)". It matches the Rfam family "Small nucleolar RNA U3". Rfam says of the family: Small nucleolar RNAs (snoRNAs) are involved in the processing and modification of rRNA in the nucleolus. There are two main classes of snoRNAs: the box C/D class, and the box H/ACA class. U3 snoRNA is a member of the box C/D class. The record is from Rfam by way of RNAcentral. Lineage: Eukaryota; Metazoa; Chordata; Mammalia; Rodentia; Dipodidae.